CCUACGGGAGGCAGCAGUGAGGAAUAUUGGUCAAUGGCCGGAAGGCUGAACCAGCCAUGCCGCGUGAAGGUCAGUGCCCUAUGGGCGUUAAACUUCUUUUGUGCGGGAGCAAUAAUGGUCACGUGUGGCCAGACGAGAGUACCGUACGAAUAAGCAUCGGCUAAAUACGUGCCAGCAGCCGCGGUAAUACGGGGGAUGCAAGCGUUAUCCGGAGUUAUUGGGUUUAAAGGGUGCGUAGGCUGGGAGGUAAGUCAGCGGUGAAAUGCCCCCGCUCAACGGGGUGAAGUGCCAUUGAUACUGCCUGGCUGGAAUGCGGAUGCCGUGGGAGGAAUGUGUGGUGUAGCGGUGAAAUGCAUAGAUAUCACACAGAACACCGAUUGCGAAGGCAUCUCACGAAUCCGCGAUUGACGCUGAUGCACGAAAGCGUGGGUAUCAAACAGGAUUAGAUACCCGGGUAGUC
Molecule: ribosomal RNA, 460 nt
Filed under: uncultured bacterium
Lineage: Bacteria
Description: partial 16S ribosomal RNA
Rfam family: Bacterial small subunit ribosomal RNA
Source: RNAcentral